This 483-nucleotide ribosomal RNA is filed under the name uncultured bacterium. Its description in RNAcentral is "partial 16S ribosomal RNA". It matches the Rfam family "Bacterial small subunit ribosomal RNA", at positions 30 to 507 of the family's 1533-position model. The record is from RNAcentral.
AUUGAACGCUGGCGGCAGGCCUAACACAUGCAAGUCGAGCGGAUGAAGGGAGCUUGCUCCUGGAUUCAGCGGCGGACGGGUGAGUAAUGCCUAGGAAUCUGCCUGGUAGUGGGGGAUAACGUCCGGAAACGGGCGCUAAUACCGCAUACGUCCUGAGGGAGAAAGUGGGGGAUCUUCGGACCUCACGCUAUCAGAUGAGCCUAGGUCGGAUUAGCUAGUUGGUGGGGUAAAGGCCUACCAAGGCGACGAUCCGUAACUGGUCUGAGAGGAUGAUCAGUCACACUGGAACUGAGACACGGUCCAGACCCCUACGGGAGGCAGCAGGGGGAAUAUUGGACAAUGGGCGAAAGCCUGAUCCAGCCAUGCCGCGUGUGUGAAGAAGGUCUUCGGAUUGUAAAGCACUUUAAGUUGGGAGGAAGGGCAGUAAGUUAAUACCUUGCUGUUUUGACGUUACCAACAGAAUAAGCACCGGCUAACUUCGUG